AACAAAUUUCUAUACCAAUUGAAGUGACCAUCUAACAAUGGUACCCGACGAUCGGAUAGAUCGAAUGUGUAGAACAACAUCCUUAGAAUCCAUGCAGAUAUAGUUUUCAUAUAAUUCAUCCCCUUGACCAAAAUGAUCAUAGGACACCCCAAAGUUCAACUGUCAAUUCUGAUCAGGUUGUCCCCAUUGUAUUUCAAAAUAUCAAAUCCAUCUGAUGGAUUAUCCUGACCAAGAUUUUGCUAAAUUGAAAUACAGUGACUCAUUCUUCUCCAACUCUUGGAGUGGUCAAUCCCAUCUCGAUCACACUCUGACUUUGCAAGUACUUAACUGUGCCUAGAAGCCUUCCAUCCCUGAAUUAGAAAUUCAGUUAGUCCAGUACCAAAGCACAGUGAGUUGCUUGCAAGUCACUGAGACGAUCUCAGGUCUAAGGGACACUUAUACCUAUAUCCCAUC
RNAcentral lists this long non-coding RNA (453 nucleotides) under Elaeis guineensis (African oil palm). RNAcentral's name for it is "long non-coding RNA (EGUI_LNC048358)". Lineage: Eukaryota; Viridiplantae; Streptophyta; Magnoliopsida; Arecales; Arecaceae. The record is from RNAcentral.